UUAGACGUUUCGAGAAGCUACACAUGCAGCCGAGCGGUAGAGAUUCUUCGGAAUCUUGAGAGCGGCGCACGGGUGCGGAACACGUGUGCAACCUGCCUUUAUCAGGGGAAUAGCCUUUCGAAAGGAAGAUUAAUGCCCCAUAAUAUAUUAAAUGGCAUCAUUUGAUAUUGAAAACUCCGGUGGAUAAAGAUGGGCACGCGCAGGAUUAGAUAGUUGGUAGGGUAACGGCCUACCAAGUCAACGAUCCUUAGGGGGCCUGAGAGGGUGAUCCCCCACACUGGUACUGAGACACGGACCAGACUCCUACGGGAGGCAGCAGUGAGGAAUAUUGGACAAUGGGUGAGAGCCUGAUCCAGCCAUCCCGCGUGAAGGACGACGGCCCUAUGGGUUGUAAACUUCUUUUGUACAGGGAUAAACCUUUCCACGUGUGGGAAGCUGAAGGUACUGUACGAAUAAGCACCGGCUAACUCCGUGCCAGCAGCCGCGGUAAUACGGAGGGUGCAAGCGUUAUCCGGAUUUAUUGGGUUUAAAGGGUCCGUAGGCGGACUCGUAAGUCAGUGGUGAAAUCUCACAGCUUAACUGUGAAACUGCCAUUGAUACUGCGGGUCUUGAGUGUUGUUGAAGUAGCUGGAAUAAGUAGUGUAGCGGUGAAAUGCAUAGAUAUUACUUAGAACACCAAUUGCGAAGGCAGGUUACUAAGCAACAACUGACGCUGAUGGACGAAAGCGUGGGGAGCGAACAGGAUUAGAUACCCUGGUAGUCCACGCCGUAAACGAUGCUAACUCGUUUUUGGUUUUUCGGAAUCAGAGACUAAGCGAAAGUGAUAAGUUAGCCACCUGGGGAGUACGUUCGCAAGAAUGAAACUCAAAGGAAUUGACGGGGGCCCGCACAAGCGGUGGAUUAUGUGGUUUAAUUCGAUGAUACGCGAGGAACCUUACCAAGGCUUAAAUGGGAAUUGAUGGGUUUAGAAAUAGACCGUCCUUCGGGCAAUUUUCAAGGUGCUGCAUGGUUGUCGUCAGCUCGUGCCGUGAGGUGUUAGGUUAAGUCCUGCACGAGCGCAACCCCUGUCACUAGUUGCCAUCAUUCAGUUGGGGACUCCUAGUGAGAACUGCCUACGCAAGUA
This 1123-nucleotide ribosomal RNA is filed under the name bacterium. RNAcentral's name for it is "bacterial SSU rRNA". It matches the Rfam family "Bacterial small subunit ribosomal RNA", at positions 29 to 1164 of the family's 1533-position model. The record is from RNAcentral.